UAGAAUUAUUGUUGCAUUAUAUAAAAUUGUUUAGACACAAAUAACUUACGUACAAUUGAACAAUUUACAUUGACCCAAAAGCAAUCACAGCGAUUUCAAAUAUAUAAAUUUCAUUGCAACAACAAAAUUGCAAUAAGAAAUGGAGAAUAUAUAAAACCCUUAAUUAAAACCCUAAGUUGAUUUUGAACUCUAAUUGAGGAUGACUGGAUACUGAGGGUCUACAUGUGGCAUCAAGCCUCAAUUCUUCCGAUUGCCAAUCCAAAAUUAUCAUUCUGUCACAUCUUUAACGUCAUUGCAAUUCUCGCACGACUCAAAACUCUAAGAAUCUAGGGGGUAAGCCCAAUCCACAAUAAUAGUAAAGGGUCACAAUCUAAAAACAACAUAUAUAUGAAAAUACCAAGCACAAAAGCAUAACAUAACAUGGCAUCAAUUGAUAAACAAGCAUGCAUAUAAAUAUCAUCAUACAACAAACAUGACUCGUGUGACAAAGCACCAUAAUACAAUGCUUAUAUGCUAGUGCACAUGAUUCCGGAAUUUCCACACCUUCCUCGAUAGGCGUAAAUCAUAAAUGUACCGCCUCUCACAGACCAAUACUAAUUAUCAAGGUGUCACCUAUCACAUAUCAACACUAUUUACUAGAGUGCAGUCUAUCACAAACCUACACCACUCCAAAAUCCCUGUAAGGAUAAGGUGGACUGAUCAACGACUCUAAAACUCUUGUAAGGAUAAGGUGGACCAAUCAACUCAAGGAACCAAUCAAUGGACCAUCACGGUCACCACUAACAUUGUGGCCCAUCACGGUCACCACUAACAUUGUGGCCCAUCACGAUCACCACUAACUAUAAAAUGCAUGAGUAUACUUUGACUCUUCUACAUCAAUCAUUAUGUAAAUGCAGCUAUUAAAAGACUCCCUUUUAAUACUCAUUAAACACUAAUAGUUUUCAAUACUUUUUCACAGAGCAUACUCAAGACAUAUUCUCAUCAAUAAAAUUCAUAACACAUGUUUAUUCACCUACAUAAACAAUCGUGUGCAUCUUUAUUCACCACAAGCACAAAGAACAUGUAUACAGACACACUCUGCAUUCAAGCAUAUAUAAUAUCGUUAGAAAGUGCCCUUACCUCGACAGUGUUUUAUUACACAAGUAACUUAUGUGUCACCCGCAUAACCUAUUCGACGAUUUCAACGAUACCUCUCAAUUUCCUUGUACCUUAAAUCAAUCAACUAACUUAAUCAAUACAAGAUUCUAAACCAACCCCCAACUGAACCCUAGGUUCAACCACUAUCUGAAUCAAUUAGGGUUUGACUUUUCGCUUAGGUUCUUUAACUUCAAAAGGAUUUUGGUUUAAGUAUUUUGACGAACGCAAGUUUCAAAACACUUAUGCCGCACUUUGAAAAUCUUGAAAUUGUUUUUCAAACUUAUUGAAGUUCAACUCAAAUAUUUGUCUUUAACAACUUAGGACAAAAUAUUUUCUUAAUAAAAUCAAUCAAAGACAAAUAUACUCACAUCGUUUGAAAUUUCGAUUAAAUCAUCCAUCAACAUCAUAAAUUUCAACACUUUAAUAUUUGAAAACUAGUAGAAGAUUUUUAUCAAGAAAUCUUAUAAAUAAAUAAAAACUCAAAUACUAAGAGUUCCAAAAUUCUAAAAACUCAAAAUCAUGAUUCUUCCACUUUGACAUUUUUCAAACUUUAAUCUUUAUCAAUUAUGCUUUGUAUAUAAACUUUCACAUAAAAUCCACAUUUUUACAUCCACACCAAAUAUUUUCCAAGUUCACAAUUUUCUUUUAAGUCUCCAACUAAAAUCUUCAUUCCUAAUAAAAUCACAUAUCAAAAUCCAAAAUUAUAAUCAGUCAUUGUUUUUCAAAAUACCUAAAUAAUUUUUCAACCUCCAAUUUUAGCAUAAAGUUGACCUCUAUUAUAAAAUUUAAAACUUUUAACUUCAAAACUUAAGAUUGAAACUUUAUUCAAAAAGUGAAUAUUUCUCUUUUAAACCUUCUUGAUAUGCAAAAUUUGAACUCUAUAUAUAUAUAUUCAAAGUCGUGAAGUUUGAAACUUUGUUUCUCAAAGAUAAAUCUCUUCAUAAAAAUUGAUAAUUUAGUAUCAAUGACUAAAACUUUUUAUUUUAAUCUAUAAAUGUGGAAACCUUGAUUUCACAAAAAACCCUAAAGAUAAAACCUUUAAUACCUUAACAAGUAAAGUUAAAUCAACAUUUAAACGAACUUUUGAACUCUCUUUCUAUAUAUAUACUACUUUGCUAAAAUCCAUUUUACACAUCAAAGUCUUUCAAAAAAAAUUCCAAAUCCAAAUCUAGUUUAAAAAACCUUAAAUAAUCAAGGUCAACAACUCAUAUAGUUUCAAAUUUUAAACGACUCCAAAUUUUUAAUUUAUACCACCAUUAAAAAUCACAAGAGAAUUUUUUUUCUAAAUUCUUUAAAGUUCAUAAAAUUUCAAUCACUCAAAUACUUCUGAAUUAAAAUAAACCACAAUAAUUCAUUUACCACUUUAUUUCAAAACUUAUUCCAAAUAUUUUGUCAUGACCUUUUUGUUUCUAUCUCGUUUCUUUAAAAAUUUCAACGCCUCAAACAUAAAAUAUUCAGAGUUCUCCCACCGCUAAAUCGGUGUCAACGGUCUCAUUUUUUUUUUUAGACUAAAGGAGUUAACUACAUAAACAUAAGAAUUCAUAACAAUUUGUUCACUACCAAAAUUUAUUCAACCACAUCAUAAUUCCAAAAUUAAAUCUUUUUCACAUAAAAAAAAAAACUUUUACAACCAAAUGAUAUAUUAUUUAUUUAAAACUAAAUAAAUACGAAUAUUUUACAAUUCACACAUUCCCAUACUCGACAAUUCAAAUCUUUUUAUCCUUUUUAAGUUAUAUCACUCAACCAUUGGAGCACCAAAAAUUUGAGUUAAUAAAGUACUCUAAAUUUCUUCUUUAAACUAAGUUCAAGAGUAAUUAAAAGAGUAACAUUUUUAACUCUAAAUAUUUUAAUUUCAAUCUAACUUUUUGCUUAAACUCUUUAACUUAGUUAAAAUUUGAAUUUUUUCACAAAUUUAACAACUAUAAAUUUUCUUGUAAAAUUUCAACUUCAGCUCAAACUCGUUUAUUUGAAAACAACUCAUUACAUAAUUCAAACACAACACAAAGUCGAAUUUUCCUCCUUUUAAUCUCUAGGAUUUGGCCACCUCAAUAAUAAUAGGGGUUUACUUUCUUUUCUUAGUGUUUAAGUAAUACACAAUACUGAUUUCACUCUAAACUAAAACAAUCAAGCAAAAUAAAAAUAAAAAUAAAAAUCAUUAAAAUCCUUAUCUAAGUAUAAAGUAACGGUUUUCAAGGAAAGAAAGGGAAAAGUGAAGUACUUCAUUCACUGGUUUGUUAUUACUAACUCUCACUAUAAUCUCAAAACCAUGCUAAAAUGAAAUUUAGAAUAAAGUUUCUUUCCUAGGAUGAAAUAUACGGUUGGUACAAGGAAGAGACCUAGAAGAGUUUCAGGAAAAUGUUUUUCUUGUAUUGUGAAGAGAAAAUUUACCUCAAAUAAGUUUGCUUGAAAGCUUCACAAUGAAGAGGAGAAAGUUUUGUCUUCAAGGAGUUUCUUCAAAUAAGGUUUGAAUCUUGAUAAAAAUGGAGGUUUGUAUUAUUUUUUUUCACUAAAACACCAAGACACUAUAUUUUUUCUUAAAGAGAGAAGAAACAAUUGGAAGGAGUGAACAUCCAAGGGGGUCG
RNAcentral lists this long non-coding RNA (3719 nucleotides) under Cicer arietinum (chickpea). RNAcentral describes it as "long non-coding RNA (CARI_LNC002340)". Lineage: Eukaryota; Viridiplantae; Streptophyta; Magnoliopsida; Fabales; Fabaceae. The record is from RNAcentral.